Molecule: long non-coding RNA, 553 nt
Organism: Lolium rigidum
Lineage: Eukaryota; Viridiplantae; Streptophyta; Magnoliopsida; Poales; Poaceae
Exons: 4
Source: RefSeq, a predicted model, not a curated record
UAAACAAAACUUUAGGUAUGAUUCUGGAAUUUUUGUGAUCCAAUACAUGAGGUGCUACAAUGGAGUUGAAGUAAAACAAUUCUCAAAUGUUGACUUGCAAGCAAUCCGUGAAAAAGUCUCAUGCCAGCUAGUGAUAAACAAAUUCAAUGAGCAACAGGUUCCAAUAGCACGAGAAUUCAUUUCGAAACAUGCUCCACAUCUUCUUCAUUAAUGAAGAUAGCAAUUUAUUUCAAAUAGACAGAUGAUGUAUUGAAAAUGUAAGUCCCUUCAAGUUACUAUUUUUCCCCAAUUGAUUUUUAUUCGGUCAUUACAAAAUAUAUGAUUUCUUCCAACAUAGAAAAAGCUUGCUAUGCAUUUUCUGUCUGAAUUGGUCUCUCAUGGUUAGAUCCCCCUAUGUUUCUAUUCUCUGGAACGCGUCGUGCACAUGAUCUAUCGCUUAGCAUUCACUCCAUAGAAUACAAUGCAUUCAGACAGUGGAACUUUUAUAGUUUCUCAAAUAAAAAGUGGGACUCAGAAAUGUUUUUGAGUGAAAAUUUUCCAGUAAUAAAAAACA